AGCGUUGUUCGGAAUUACUGGGCGUAAAGCGCGCGCAGGUGGUCUUUCAAGUCAGUGGUGAAAGCCCGGAGCUCAACUCCGGAAAUGCCAUUGAAACUGUAUGACUUGAGGAUGAGAGAGGUGAGUGGAAUUCCCAGUGUAGAGGUGAAAUUCGUAGAUAUUGGGAAGAACACCGGUGGCGAAGGCGGCUCACUGGCUCAUAUCUGACGCUCAGGCGCGACAGCGUGGGGAUCAAACAGG
This 240-nucleotide ribosomal RNA is filed under the name uncultured bacterium. RNAcentral describes it as "partial 16S ribosomal RNA". It matches the Rfam family "Bacterial small subunit ribosomal RNA", at positions 537 to 776 of the family's 1533-position model. The record is from RNAcentral.